GUCUAUGGCCAUGCCACCCUGAACAAAUCUGAUACCAUCUGACCUCGGAAGCAAAGCAGGGUCGAGCCUGGUUAGUACUUGGAUGGGAGACCACCUAGGAAGACCAGGUGCUAUAGAAG
RNAcentral lists this ribosomal RNA (119 nucleotides) under Pteropus alecto (black flying fox). Lineage: Eukaryota; Metazoa; Chordata; Mammalia; Chiroptera; Pteropodidae. The record is from RNAcentral.